CUCAAUUGUGUUUUUCCGGUAUUAGUUUGUCCAUUUAAAACUUUUUCCUGUGAUCACAGAAACUUUGAGUGUGUCAACCAGGCUUAAUAGUCUGAUGAUGAUUUUAUAAAAUCCAAACACUGUGUCUGUGAUAUUUUGAUAUUGCAAUUUUGAUAGGCAGAUGCUCUGAGCGACUUGCAACCGGCGCGAACAAAUAGCAAGUUAAAAUUCACAAAAGAUUUGUAAACAAAGCCUCUGAGUGGACUAUAAGAAAGAUGGAAGCACCAAUCUAGUUG
This is a non-coding RNA of Paramuricea clavata, 275 nucleotides long. The record is from the annotation of a GenBank genome assembly. Lineage: Eukaryota; Metazoa; Cnidaria; Anthozoa; Malacalcyonacea; Plexauridae.